GGCUACAUCACAUUGAAACACCAGUUCUCAUAUAAUCACUGAAGUUAAGCAACAUCAAUCCUGGUAAGUACCAAAUGGGUGACCACUUGGGAAUACCAGGUGCUGUAAU
Non-coding RNA from Acanthosepion pharaonis, 109 nucleotides. Lineage: Eukaryota; Metazoa; Mollusca; Cephalopoda; Sepiida; Sepiidae. The record is from the annotation of a GenBank genome assembly.